GACCGAGGGUGCAAACGUUGUUCGGAAUCACUGGGCGUAAAGCGUGUGUAGGCGGUCCAAUAAGUCGGAUGUGAAAGCCCCGGGCUCAACCCGGGAAGUGCACCCGAUACUGAUGGACUUGAGUACUGGAGAGGUUGGUGGAAUUCUCGGUGUAGAGGUGAAAUUCGUAGAUAUCGAGAGGAACACCGGUGGCGAAGGCGGCCAACUGGACAGAUACUGACGCUGAGACACGAAAGCGUGGGGAGCAAACAGG
Molecule: ribosomal RNA, 253 nt
Filed under: uncultured bacterium
Lineage: Bacteria
Description: partial 16S ribosomal RNA
Rfam family: Bacterial small subunit ribosomal RNA
Source: RNAcentral